UUUUUUUUUUUUUUUUUUUUUUGAGGCAGAGUUUUACUGUGUAGCCCAGGCUGGCCUUGAAGUUGAAGUCCUUCUGCUUUAAGCGCUAGAAUGCAGGUAUGUUCCAACCUGCCCACCCUGUUCUCUGCUUUAAACAUCUGUAUGUUUGUUGAAAGGUCAUUGCCAUGGGGGAAAGCUGCUCUUGAUUUAGAACAUUCACUAGGGUGUGCCCUUUCAUAGUUUAUCACAGUUAUGGUUGGAAUUAAAGUGACCCUUGCAGGUUCAUGUUUUGAAAUCCUGUUCCCAAGCUGGCGCUGUAUGGCAAAUGGGCCUGAUCGGUGGAGGUUGGUCACUAGGAGUGGUCUUGAAGGUUACAGCCCGGACUCUGCUUCUGGGACUUUGUACUUCCUUGUCUGUUGUAAUGUGAGGAAUCUCUGGCACAGGCUUCUGCCGACAGGAACUCCUCUCCACCCUUCCUGCAGCUGUGCAUGGGGAUCUCCACCCUUCCUGCAGCAGUGCAUGCAGACCAUUUAAAUUGUGCGCUCAGUAGGUCCUUCCUUGUGUAGUUUCUGUCAGGUGUUUUGUCAGGGCGAGGGACGAGACAAGUGGUUAAUACAAUUACAUGCUCUCUCCAGAAGACUUGAGUUUGCAGAGGCAGAGCUGUUCUAGUAUUGCUACUACUCAGGCUUUUUACAUCCUAGUGAACAGUUCUUGAGAAAAGCAAGUAAGGAACACAUCUCUCUGUAUGUGUGUGUGUAAGUAUAUGUGUACAUGUGUGUGCAUGUAUGUAUGUAUAUGACUACACUUUAUUUCAGCUCCUGAUUUUAGAGACUUGUGUUGAUUAUGAUGAGGAGGGUAUAGCACAGCAAAGCAUGAACAUCACAACAGCCUUGGAAGGACAUAGAAGGAGAUCCAGUGGGGCAAGGGCAAGUGAUAGCCCCAGGUUCACACUCCAGUGAUUGAUUUAUUCCAGUAGACCCGCCUCCUACUCAUCACCACCUCUCAGCAAUACAGUCACGAGAUGAAUCCAUCAGGAGAUUCAUACAUUGAUUAGGUCAGAGCCCUCAGAAUCCAGACACUUCUGAAAAUCUGUCAGCAGACAACCAAGCCCCUAAUACUUUAGACUGGGAUGGGAGGGGAGAUGAGGCAUUACAUACUCAAACUACAGUGCAUUUUCAUGCUGGGGUAUGUAUAUAUAACUCUCUUCCCCCACAAACCCUAUCUUGCCUAUAGCUCUCAUUUGCUUUUGUCACUUAACAAAACACCACAGACAUCUGCUUUAUGAUUACCUUCAUUCAAAACACAGUUCAGGCUGGAGUUGGCUCAAUGGUUCCGAGCGAGCGCUUGCUGCUCUUCCAGUAGACAUGACUUUGGUUCCUAGCACUCACAUCAGGCAGCUCACUGCAGUCUGUAACUGCAGUUCCAAGGGAUACAAUGUUCUCUUCUAGCCUUUGUGGGCACCUGCAUAGAACUGCAUGUAACAUACACACUUGCACAUAAUUAGAAAAACAAAGCAGUUCUGUCGCUUGAUUUUACCAGAUAUUCACUUUUUAUCUAUGAAAUGUGAAUACUAACAGUUUCUGUCUUUUAGGACUUGGAGAGCAUAAUAUUAUUACUAUUUCUUAAUGAGGCAUGCAAAGUUCCCAAUUUUAAGUGUUCAGCAUGUAUUGAAGAAAUGUUGGCAGAACUAGCCAUUUUGUUCCUUUAAAUUUUUUUCUCAUAUACUACAUUUUGAUUGUAUCCUUUCCUUUGAGAUUUUUCCCACCUCACUUCAUGCUCUCACUUUCUCUCUUUCUCUCUCUCAGAAAGUAAAAGCAAAUGGUCAAAUAAAACCCAGUAAGAUAAAAAAAGUAACAAAGC
Molecule: long non-coding RNA, 1839 nt
Filed under: Mus musculus (house mouse)
Lineage: Eukaryota; Metazoa; Chordata; Mammalia; Rodentia; Muridae
Description: long non-coding RNA chr3:84852650-84854489
Source: RNAcentral